AUUCAGAUGAAGAGUCUCAGAUGAGACGAAGUGCGCAUCCUGGAU
RNAcentral lists this non-coding RNA (45 nucleotides) under Trichobilharzia regenti. The record is from RNAcentral. Lineage: Eukaryota; Metazoa; Platyhelminthes; Trematoda; Strigeidida; Schistosomatidae.